Molecule: non-coding RNA, 1654 nt
Organism: Salvia hispanica
Lineage: Eukaryota; Viridiplantae; Streptophyta; Magnoliopsida; Lamiales; Lamiaceae
Source: RefSeq, a predicted model, not a curated record
CUCAUCUCCUCCAUCGUGACUUCUCCCUUCUCACAUUCCUAUCUCCCAAAUUUCCAGACUAGGGAUUCUCGAAUGAGACGAGAACAGCGGCGGUUCUCCCUCCUCCCUCGCGACCUCUCCGGCGGAAUCGUCGUCUCUCCGGCGAAUCACCGCCUCUCUGCGUUGCCGGAACUACACCGGCUCCGCCUCCUCUCUCGAAUUCGCACCUCGUCUCCUUUCCACUCGGCGGGAUCGCGCCUCACCUGCGUCGCCGGCAAACUCGCCUCGGCCCCCCUCGGCCGAGCGUUCUUCGCCCAGCGCCGGCGGCUCCCUCUGGCUCCGUCUAGCUCUCUAUUCCUCUCUCGGCUGAAUUCGCCGAUGGCAGCCCGUCGGCUCCAAGCUCACUCCCUCCGUCGGGCUCUCUCUCCGCCGAGUUCUCUCCGGAAGGCAGCGACGCCAUCGCCCCUCUCUCCAUCUUCACUUGGCGGCGCCGACACCAGCCGCCGCCUUACUCUGCUGCCCCGGCAGCGUCUCCGCUCAGCCGGGCCUCUCGGAGCUCGUCGCUGCCCGUCCGUCGCCGGGCAGCUCCGCCCAACUAAAGCUAAGUCCUCUCCCCCCACCCCUUACUCCUUUUUCGAGUUAUGGCAGUAGCUUAUUUUUGGAAAAGAAAUUCUCCAUUGGAGUCUUGUGUGGCUUAUGGUGAUAUAUUGCUCAAAUUGAAAACUUGCUAAGUUCUUGCUUAUGAUACUAUGCCACUGAAUUCAUAUGGAGGGGGGGGGGGUAUCUUGCGGCUAUCUCUAAUUUGUAUAGCUCUAAGCUCUUGAGCUUCAACUUAGUGUUACAUGAUUGUUAUUGUUUUCAUCCUUGCUGUGAGGGUCCUAUGAAAAUUCUAAGUUCUUGUUUCUAUGAUUCUAAGUUAUUGGCUAUCUAUUGGUUGAUCUACAUGAUGCGAUGGAGAUGGGUGUUGAGGUUGUUGGGAUUACCUUAACGUAGUCGAAUCCUCCUCGGUGGUGGCUGUCCUUGCCGUCACCACUCGCUGCCCUCUCCCUCCUCCCUCGCUGCUCUUCUUAUGGUGUUGUGUGGAAUUUGUGGUGAUGAAAUGUGGUGGUGGAGGAGGUGAGGAGAGGCUGCUUAUAUGGUGCUAAUCUAUUGAAAGCUAGGUUUGAGACUUGGAGCCAAAGGCUCCUAUUUUGGGCUUGUUAGCUCUCUCACUUUCGAGCUUAAUGAUUGUGAGAUUCUUGCCGUUUUGGUGAUUGUGGCUGAUCUUCUUGGCUGAUUUCUCGGCCUUGAUCGACGGGGAGAUGAGAGUUUGUCUCAUCUUCUACUUUUGGGCUUGUGUAGGAGCUCGUUCCCCAAUGCCCCUUUGUCUCGACUCCCUUUUGAUGUUAGAAGAGAUGGUACAUGAAGGCAUUCUUGGAGCUUGUGGAGGGAAGCAAAAAAAAUCGAGAUUAAGAAAGAGAGGGAAAGAAAGGAGAUGCUCCUCUUGAGCUCAUUUGGUUCUAUUCCCAAUUUAGUUUGCUUCCAAACUCGAGAAUUUAAAGAAGUAGGAUAGAUAGUGUAGAAUAGGUGCAUGUUGAUUUUAUCACACUUGCAGGCAUGUACUAUUUCCGUCAUCCAUGUAUUUCUAUUUUUUUCACGGUGUAUCCACAUUUCUCUAAUAAAAGUAUUUUCUCCA